AUGGCACAGGUCCUCAGAGACACCAUGACCAACUUCCCUGGGUUUGACAAGUGGGCUGAUUUAGAAACUCUUUGGAAGGCUAUGAAAAGCUUGGGCACCGAUGAAGAGUAUCCUGACUCUGCUGACAUCCUGGAGUAAUGCUCAGUACUGGGAGAUCACUGCAGCUUUUAAAACUAUUCGGCAGGGAUCUUCUGGAUGACCUGAAAUCAGAACUAACUGAAAAUUUGAAAAAUUAAUUGUGGCUCUGAUGAAACCCUCUCGGCUUUAUGACACCAGUGAACUGAAGCAUGCACUUGAGGGAGCUGGGACAAAUGAAAAAGUGAUGACUGAAAUUAUUGCUCCAAGGACACCUGAGGAACUAAGAGUCAUAAAGCAAGUGUAUGAAGAAGAAUAUGGUUCUAGCCUGAAAGAUGACGUGGUGGGGGAUACUUCAGGAUCCUACCAGAGGAUGUUGGUGAUUCUUCUUCAAGCUCACAGAGACCCAGAUGCUGGAGUCAAUGAAGUUGAAGUUGAGCAAGAUGCUCAGGCUCUGUUCCAGGCUGGAGAACUUAAACGGGGUACAGAUGAAGAAAAGUUUAUCACCAUCUUUGGAACACGAAGUGUGUCUCAUUUGAGAAGGGUGUUUGACAAAUACAUGACUAUAUCAGGAUUUCCAACUGAGGAAGCCAUUGGCCGGGGGACUUCUGGCAAUCUGGAGCAACUACUCCUUGCUGUGGUGAAAUCUAUUCGAAGCAUACCCGCCUUCCUUACAGAGGUGCCCUACUUUGGUAUGAAGGGAGCUGGGACAGAUGAUCAUGCCCUCAUCAGAGCUGUGGUGUCCAGGAGUGAGACUGAUCUGUAUAACAUAAAUUCAGGAAGAUUUUUGCUACCUCUCAUUAUUCCAUGAUUCAGGGUGAUACAUCUGGGGACUGUAAUAAGAAAGCCCUCCUGCUGCUCUGUGAAGGAGAAGAUGACUAA
Molecule: RNA transcript, 957 nt
Organism: Carlito syrichta (Philippine tarsier)
Lineage: Eukaryota; Metazoa; Chordata; Mammalia; Primates; Tarsiidae
Gene name: annexin A5-like
Exons: 3
Source: RefSeq, a predicted model, not a curated record